GCAGUGAGGUCCUCGUCUUCGUCUCCUGAUAUGCACCGACAGAAUUUUCGACCCCCGACUCCUCCCUACCCCGGCUCGGGUGUAGGAGGUUGGGGUAGCGGGAGCAGCUUCCGGGGUACCCCGGGCGGAGGCGGACCGCGGCCGCCCUCCCCUCGGGACGGGUACGGGAGUCCGCAUCACACGCCGCCGUACGGGCCCCGGUCUAGGCCCUCCGGGAGCAGCCACUCUCCGCGACACGGCGGCAGCUUCCCGGGGGGCCGAUUCGGGUCUCCGUCCCCUGGCGGCUACCCUGGCUCCCACUGCAAGUCCCCCGCGGGGUCCCAGCAGCAUUUCGGCUACUCCCCAGGGCAGCAGCAGACCCACCCCCAGGGUUCUCCAAGGACAUCUACACCAUUUGGAUCAGGGCGUGGUAGAGAAAAAAGAAUGUCUAAUGAGUUGGAAAAUUAUUUCAAGCCUUCAAUGCUUGAAGACCCUUGGGCUGGCCUAGAACCAGUAUCUGUAGUGGAUAUUAACCAACAAUACAGCAAUACUCAAACAUUCACAGGCAAAAAAGGAAGAUACUUUUGUUAACAUUUCUGAAAUUCACCCAGAAGCUUCAUGUGUCAGGAACAUCUUGGACAAAACUUUUACCCAUGUAAUUAAGUUGAACCCUAAGAUGGUGACUUUGAAUAAUUAGUUGAGUCUUCUUGGUAUUUUUCAUCAUAUCAAGUAUUGUUGAUAUUAGAAAAGACAUACAGUAGAAUAACUUGCAAUAUUUAGCUCUUUGAAAGUGCCUACCACAUUUUAGAAGAUUUACAGUUUCCAGAUAUUUAAAGUUCAUGGUUAUAUAAUGGACAUUUGUCUUUCAAUGGUUUUCCAAUGUUUUAAAAUAAAACAUUUUGUCUUUCUA
Callorhinus ursinus (northern fur seal) is the source of this 889-nucleotide non-coding RNA. Lineage: Eukaryota; Metazoa; Chordata; Mammalia; Carnivora; Otariidae. The record is from RefSeq and is a predicted model, not a curated record.